This 215-nucleotide ribosomal RNA is filed under the name Bacteroides caccae. Its description in RNAcentral is "partial 16S ribosomal RNA". It matches the Rfam family "Bacterial small subunit ribosomal RNA", at positions 563 to 776 of the family's 1533-position model. The record is from RNAcentral. Lineage: Bacteria; Pseudomonadati; Bacteroidota; Bacteroidia; Bacteroidales; Bacteroidaceae.
UAAGGGAGCGUAGGCGGAUUGUUAAGUCAGUUGUGAAAGUUUGCGGCUCAACCGUAAAAUUGCAGUUGAUACUGGCAGUCUUGAGUGCAGUAGAGGUGGGCGGAAUUCGUGGUGUAGCGGUGAAAUGCUUAGAUAUCACGAAGAACUCCGAUUGCGAAGGCAGCUCACUGGAGUGUAACUGACGCUGAUGCUCGAAAGUGUGGGUAUCAAACAGA